CCAAUUAUAAUUCUACUAUUAUUCCUUACCCAAUAGGCAAUACCCAAUUACCCUCUCAAAAGAUAGAAACUAUCAAGAAUUCACAAACCAAUUAGACAAAAAAUCAAGGAAAACCCCCAAUUAUAAACCCUAAAAGUAUUAAUUUUACUAGUUGAUAGAUGGCUUUGGGGUUGGGGUCUUGCUGACUGCCAUCUUGGGGAAGAGCCGAAGAGCCGAAGAAGCGGGAGAUGCGUGAGAUGAAUGGAACCUUAAGACUCUUACCAGUUACAAGUGAACAAGUUACAAGCGACUAGCGAG
This 297-nucleotide long non-coding RNA is filed under the name Panax ginseng (ginseng). RNAcentral describes it as "long non-coding RNA (PGIN_LNC000374)". Lineage: Eukaryota; Viridiplantae; Streptophyta; Magnoliopsida; Apiales; Araliaceae. The record is from RNAcentral.